CUACGGGCCGCAGCAGUGGGGAAUAUUGCACAAUGGAGGAAACUCUGAUGCAGCAACGCCGCGUGGAGGAUGACACUUUUCGGAGCGUAAACUCCUUUUAUAUAGGAAGAAGGUGACGGUACUAUAUGAAUAAGCGCCGGCUAACUCCGUGCCAGCAGCCGCGGUAAUACGGAGGGCGCAAGCGUUACUCGGAAUCACUGGGCGUAAAGAGCGUGUAGGCGGAUUAAAAAGUCAGAAGUGAAAUCCUAUAGCUUAACUAUAGAACUGCUUCUGAAACUCUUAAUCUAGAAUAUGGGAGAGGUAGAUGGAAUCUCUGGUGUAGGGGUAAAAUCCGUAGAGAUCAGAAGGAAUACCGAUUGCGAAGGCGAUCUACUAGAACAUUAUUGACGCUGAGACGCGAAAGCGUGGGGAGCAAACAGGAUUAGAUACCCCUGUAGUC
Molecule: ribosomal RNA, 439 nt
Filed under: uncultured bacterium
Lineage: Bacteria
Description: partial 16S ribosomal RNA
Rfam family: Bacterial small subunit ribosomal RNA
Source: RNAcentral